CCUACGGGAGGCAGCAGUGGGGAAUAUUGCACAAUGGGGGAAACCCUGAUGCAGCGACGCCGCGUGGGUGAAGAAGUAUUUCGGUAUGUAAAGCCCUGUCAGCAGGGAAGAAGAUGACGGUACCUGACCAAGAAGCCCCGGCUAACUCCGUGCCAGCAGCCGCGGUAAUACGUAGGGGGCAAGCGUUAUCCGGAUUUACUGGGGGUAAAGGGAGCGUAGACGGUGCUGCAAGUCGUAGGUGAAAGGCCGGGGCCCAACCCCGGGACGGCACUGGAAACUGUGGGACUGGAGUACAGGAGGGGUAAGCGGAAUUCCUAGUGUAGCGGUGAAAUGCGUAGAUAUUAGGAGGAACACCAGUGGCGAAGGCGGCUUACUGGACUGUAACUGACGUUGAGGCUCGAAGGCGUGGGGAGCAAACAGGAUUAGAUACCCGUGUAGUC
This 440-nucleotide ribosomal RNA is filed under the name uncultured bacterium. Its description in RNAcentral is "partial 16S ribosomal RNA". It matches the Rfam family "Bacterial small subunit ribosomal RNA", at positions 338 to 795 of the family's 1533-position model. The record is from RNAcentral.